Molecule: ribosomal RNA, 83 nt
Filed under: Vibrio cholerae
Lineage: Bacteria; Pseudomonadati; Pseudomonadota; Gammaproteobacteria; Vibrionales; Vibrionaceae
Description: partial 16S ribosomal RNA
Rfam family: Bacterial small subunit ribosomal RNA
Source: RNAcentral
GCCACUUUGUGGUUCAUGACUGGGGUGAAGUCGUAACAAGGUAGCGCUAGGGGAACCUGGCGCUGGAUCACCUCCUUACACGA